Molecule: ribosomal RNA, 2925 nt
Filed under: Shigella flexneri
Lineage: Bacteria; Pseudomonadati; Pseudomonadota; Gammaproteobacteria; Enterobacterales; Enterobacteriaceae
Also listed under: 2 other names
Description: 23S ribosomal RNA
Rfam family: Bacterial large subunit ribosomal RNA
Source: RNAcentral
GGGUUGUGAGGUUAAGCGACUAAGCGUACACGGUGGAUGCCUUGGCAGUCAGAGGCGAUGAAGGACGUGCUAAUCUGCGAUAAGCGUCGGUAAGGUGAUAUGAACCGUUAUAACCGGCGAUUUCCGAAUGGGGAAACCCAGUGUGAUUCGUCACACUAUCAUUAACUGAAUCCAUAGGUUAAUGAGGCGAACCGGGGGAACUGAAACAUCUAAGUACCCCGAGGAAAAGAAAUCAACCGAGAUUCCCCCAGUAGCGGCGAGCGAACGGGGAGCAGCCCAGAGCCUGAAUCAGUGUGUGUGUUAGUGGAAGCGUCUGGAAAGGCGUGCGAUACAGGGUGACAGCCCCGUACACAAAAAUGCACAUACUGUGAGCUCGAUGAGUAGGGCGGGACACGUGGUAUCCUGUCUGAAUAUGGGGGGACCAUCCUCCAAGGCUAAAUACUCCUGACUGACCGAUAGUGAACCAGUACCGUGAGGGAAAGGCGAAAAGAACCCCGGCGAGGGGAGUGAAAAAGAACCUGAAACCGUGUACGUACAAGCAGUGGGAGCACGCUUAGGCGUGUGACUGCGUACCUUUUGUAUAAUGGGUCAGCGACUUAUAUUCUGUAGCAAGGUUAACCGAAUAGGGGAGCCGAAGGGAAACCGAGUCUUAACUGGGCGUUAAGUUGCAGGGUAUAGACCCGAAACCCGGUGAUCUAGCCAUGGGCAGGUUGAAGGUUGGGUAACACUAACUGGAGGACCGAACCGACUAAUGUUGAAAAAUUAGCGGAUGACUUGUGGCUGGGGGUGAAAGGCCAAUCAAACCGGGAGAUAGCUGGUUCUCCCCGAAAGCUAUUUAGGUAGCGCCUCGUGAAUUCAUCUCCGGGGGUAGAGCACUGUUUCGGCAAGGGGGUCAUCCCGACUUACCAACCCGAUGCAAACUGCGAAUACCGGAGAAUGUUAUCACGGGAGACACACGGCGGGUGCUAACGUCCGUCGUGAAGAGGGAAACAACCCAGACCGCCAGCUAAGGUCCCAAAGUCAUGGUUAAGUGGGAAACGAUGUGGGAAGGCCCAGACAGCCAGGAUGUUGGCUUAGAAGCAGCCAUCAUUUAAAGAAAGCGUAAUAGCUCACUGGUCGAGUCGGCCUGCGCGGAAGAUGUAACGGGGCUAAACCAUGCACCGAAGCUGCGGCAGCGACGCUUAUGCGUUGUUGGGUAGGGGAGCGUUCUGUAAGCCUGUGAAGGUGUGCUGUGAGGUAUGCUGGAGGUAUCAGAAGUGCGAAUGCUGACAUAAGUAACGAUAAAGCGGGUGAAAAGCCCGCUCGCCGGAAGACCAAGGGUUCCUGUCCAACGUUAAUCGGGGCAGGGUGAGUCGACCCCUAAGGCGAGGCCGAAAGGCGUAGUCGAUGGGAAACAGGUUAAUAUUCCUGUACUUGGUGUUACUGCGAAGGGGGGACGGAGAAGGCUAUGUUGGCCGGGCGACGGUUGUCCCGGUUUAAGCGUGUAGGCUGGUUUUCCAGGCAAAUCCGGAAAAUCAAGGCCGAGGCGUGAUGACGAGGCACUACGGUGCUGAAGCAACAAAUGCCCUGCUUCCAGGAAAAGCCUCUAAGCAUCAGGUAACAUCAAAUCGUACCCCAAACCGACACAGGUGGUCAGGUAGAGAAUACCAAGGCGCUUGAGAGAACUCGGGUGAAGGAACUAGGCAAAAUGGUGCCGUAACUUCGGGAGAAGGCACGCUGAUACGUAGGUGAAGCGACUUGCUCGUGGAGCUGAAAUCAGUCGAAGAUACCAGCUGGCUGCAACUGUUUAUUAAAAACACAGCACUGUGCAAACACGAAAGUGGACGUAUACGGUGUGACGCCUGCCCGGUGCCGGAAGGUUAAUUGAUGGGGUUAGCGCAAGCGAAGCUCUUGAUCGAAGCCCCGGUAAACGGCGGCCGUAACUAUAACGGUCCUAAGGUAGCGAAAUUCCUUGUCGGGUAAGUUCCGACCUGCACGAAUGGCGUAAUGAUGGCCAGGCUGUCUCCACCCGAGACUCAGUGAAAUUGAACUCGCUGUGAAGAUGCAGUGUACCCGCGGCAAGACGGAAAGACCCCGUGAACCUUUACUAUAGCUUGACACUGAACAUUGAGCCUUGAUGUGUAGGAUAGGUGGGAGGCUUUGAAGUGUGGACGCCAGUCUGCAUGGAGCCGACCUUGAAAUACCACCCUUUAAUGUUUGAUGUUCUAACGUGGACCCGUGAUCCGGGUUGCGGACAGUGUCUGGUGGGUAGUUUGACUGGGGCGGUCUCCUCCUAAAGAGUAACGGAGGAGCACGAAGGUUGGCUAAUCCUGGUCGGACAUCAGGAGGUUAGUGCAAUGGCAUAAGCCAGCUUGACUGCGAGCGUGACGGCGCGAGCAGGUGCGAAAGCAGGUCAUAGUGAUCCGGUGGUUCUGAAUGGAAGGGCCAUCGCUCAACGGAUAAAAGGUACUCCGGGGAUAACAGGCUGAUACCGCCCAAGAGUUCAUAUCGACGGCGGUGUUUGGCACCUCGAUGUCGGCUCAUCACAUCCUGGGGCUGAAGUAGGUCCCAAGGGUAUGGCUGUUCGCCAUUUAAAGUGGUACGCGAGCUGGGUUUAGAACGUCGUGAGACAGUUCGGUCCCUAUCUGCCGUGGGCGCUGGAGAACUGAGGGGGGCUGCUCCUAGUACGAGAGGACCGGAGUGGACGCAUCACUGGUGUUCGGGUUGUCAUGCCAAUGGCACUGCCCGGUAGCUAAAUGCGGAAGAGAUAAGUGCUGAAAGCAUCUAAGCACGAAACUUGCCCCGAGAUGAGUUCUCCCUGACCCUUUAAGGGUCCUGAAGGAACGUUGAAGACGACGACGUUGAUAGGCCGGGUGUGUAAGCGCAGCGAUGCGUUGAGCUAACCGGUACUAAUGAACCGUGAGGCUUAACCUUACAACGCCGAAG